Molecule: ribosomal RNA, 290 nt
Filed under: uncultured bacterium
Lineage: Bacteria
Description: partial 16S ribosomal RNA
Rfam family: Bacterial small subunit ribosomal RNA
Source: RNAcentral
GACGAACGCUGGCGGCGUGCUUAACACAUGCAAGUGGAGCGACGAACCGGGGCUUGCCCCGGGGCAGAGCCGCGAACGGGUGAGUAACACGUGGGUAACCCACCCCGAUGACCGGGACAACCCGAGGAAACUCGGGCUAAUACCGGAUGUGCUCCUUGACCUCGAGGUCAAGGCGUAAAGAUAGCUUCGGCCUUCGCAUCGGGACGGGCCCGCGGCCCAUUAGCUUGUUGGUGGGGUAAAGGCCUACCAAGGCGACGAUGGGUAGCUGGUCUGAGAGGACGAUCAGCCAC